AACAUGAAAAAACCCUAGCUAGGCAUUCCUAAGAGGAACAAACAACAUGAGCCAUUUUCUCCAAGAAACUUAGACCAUCAGACCUUCUUCUCAAAAAUGGAAGAAACGACCAAAAACCCCGUGCCCUGAACGAUCAAGAGACAGCAGUCGCCGCCCCCAGCCGCCGCCCAAACUCUUCAGCACACCAUAACCAGCCAUACACACGACCAUCAGCUGUUAGACCCCUACACCAGCGACCCCUCAUCUCCUGAUACCACCCCCUGCCGCCGUCAGCCAUCUCCCACAUCCACCAGCAACUCGCCGGAAUAACACACACACUAACAGAAGCUCCAAACGGACAAGGGAGGUCGACUGGACUGAUAUGGUCGUUGGAAUAAUAAAGUAUCAAAAAUAUUUUUACUUUCUUUUGAUUCAUAUCAGUUCGGAAAAGAAAUCAAAACAGAAACAGAUUUGGAGUCAUUUUAUUAUCGGAAGUUCAUUGCUUC
RNAcentral lists this long non-coding RNA (485 nucleotides) under Nicotiana benthamiana. Its description in RNAcentral is "long non-coding RNA (NBEN_LNC022320)". Lineage: Eukaryota; Viridiplantae; Streptophyta; Magnoliopsida; Solanales; Solanaceae. The record is from RNAcentral.